Hevea brasiliensis (rubber tree) is the source of this 708-nucleotide long non-coding RNA. RefSeq lists it as uncharacterized. The record is from RefSeq and is a predicted model, not a curated record. The transcript has 2 exons. NCBI's taxonomy places the organism in Eukaryota, Viridiplantae, Streptophyta, Magnoliopsida, Malpighiales, Euphorbiaceae.
UUGUCCAUCGAAAGGCAGAUAUAUAUAUAUAUAUAUACAUAUAAUAUUUUGUCCAUUGAAAGGCAGAUAUAUAUAUAUAUAUAUAUACACUCAGAAUCUCAGAUAUGUACUCGGUGAACUAGCAAGAAUGGCUUCUAAGAAGGUUUUGUAUCCCUGGGUGGUUCUGUUCAUCCUCAUGCUAAUGCUCCUGGCCUUUACAGCUGCAUCAAGGCAUCAGAUAAGGAACGCCAGGCUUCUUCUGACAGAGGAGAACGCCAGGAUGCUAGUUUCAGAUUAUAUGCCUCAAGAUGCCCCUCAUGGAGACAAUUAUGGUCAACAAACCUGAUUGGCUCUAUUUGUAGGAGAAAAUCUAAUAUGAUUCUAGGGUAAUAACGAAUAAGGAGAGUGGCGUUUCUCUGCUUAUACGGUACUGUCUGGUUCUGCAAUUCUUGCCAGGCUAAGUGGCUAGCAUCCAGCAUGCGCUAGCGCAAUGUGCAUUUUUGUGAAGCAUUGAAGCUCAUGAUAACAUUAUAUAUGGAUAGUUUUUAUAUGUAAUCUGAGCACUCAAGGACUGUAUUUGAUUUCUCUAUCACGCAUGUAUCUUUUUAUAUCCAUCAAUAUUUAAUUAACAGUUGACAUAAAGAUGUGUGUAAACUGUAAUGAUUUUAGCAUGUAUUUCCAUAUACAUUUCUAGCUCAAGAGGGCCAGUUUGCCCAAGUGUUACAUUUA